Molecule: ribosomal RNA, 763 nt
Filed under: Vreelandella aquamarina
Lineage: Bacteria; Pseudomonadati; Pseudomonadota; Gammaproteobacteria; Oceanospirillales; Halomonadaceae
Description: bacterial SSU rRNA
Rfam family: Bacterial small subunit ribosomal RNA
Source: RNAcentral
GCUUGCGCAGCUACACAUGCAGUCGAGCGGUAACAGAUCCAGCUUGCUGGAUGCUGACGAGCGGCGGACGGGUGAGUAAUGCAUAGGAAUCUGCCCGAUAGUGGGGGAUAACCUGGGGAAACCCAGGCUAAUACCGCAUACGUCCUACGGGAGAAAGGGGGCUUCGGCUCCCGCUAUCGGAUGAGCCUAUGUCGGAUUAGCUAGUUGGUGAGGUAACGGCUCACCAAGGCCACGAUCCGUAGCUGGUCUGAGAGGAUGAUCAGCCACAUCGGGACUGAGACACGGCCCGAACUCCUACGGGAGGCAGCAGUGGGGAAUAUUGGACAAUGGGGGGAACCCUGAUCCAGCCAUGCCGCGUGUGUGAAGAAGGCCCUCGGGUUGUAAAGCACUUUCAGCGAGGAAGAACGCCUAGCGGUUAAUACCCGCUAGGAAAGACAUCACUCGCAGAAGAAGCACCGGCUAACUCCGUGCCAGCAGCCGCGGUAAUACGGAGGGUGCAAGCGUUAAUCGGAAUUACUGGGCGUAAAGCGCGCGUAGGUGGCUUGAUAAGCCGGUUGUGAAAGCCCCGGGCUCAACCUGGGAACGGCAUCCGGAACUGUCAAGCUAGAGUGCAGGAGAGGAAGGUAGAAUUCCCGGUGUAGCGGUGAAAUGCGUAGAGAUCGGGAGGAAUACCAGUGGCGAAGGCGGCCUUCUGGACUGACACUGACACUGAGGUGCGAAAGCGUGGGUAGCAAACAGGAUUAGAUACCUGGGGGAAGUCACA